Molecule: ribosomal RNA, 466 nt
Filed under: uncultured bacterium
Lineage: Bacteria
Description: partial 16S ribosomal RNA
Rfam family: Bacterial small subunit ribosomal RNA
Source: RNAcentral
GAUGAACGCUGGCGGCGUGCUUAACACAUGCAAGUCGAACGGAAAGGCCACAGCUUGCUGUGGUACUCGAGUGGCGAACGGGUGAGUAACACGUGGGUGAUCUGCCCUGUACUUCGGGAUAAGCGUGGGAAACUGGGUCUAAUACCGGAUAGGAAUCACAUGUGGGUGUGUGGUUGGAAAGCUUUUGCGGUAUGGGAUGAGCUCGCGGCCUAUCAGCUUGUUGGUGGGGUAAUGGCCUACCAAGGCGUCGACGGGUAGCCGGCCUGAGAGGGUGUACGGCCACAUUGGGACUGAGAUACGGCCCAGACUCCUACGGGAGGCAGCAGUGGGGAAUAUUGCACAAUGGGCGCAAGCCUGAUGCAGCGACGCCGCGUGGGGGAUGACGGCCUUCGGGUUGUAAACUCCUUUCGUCAGGGACGAAGCGAAAGUGACGGUACCUGGAGAAGAAGCACCGGCUAACUACGUG